GAUGUGAGUGUGCCCGAAAGGGAACCUAGACACACGUGCUGCAUGGCUGUCGUCAGCUCGUGUCGUGAGAUGUUGGGUUAAGCCCCGCAACGAGCGCAACCCUUGCCAUUAGUUGCUACAUUUAGUUGGGCACUCUAAUGGGACCGCCGGUGACAAACCGGAGGAAGGUGGGGAUGACGUCAAGUCCUCAUGGCCCUUAUGGGUAGG
This 207-nucleotide ribosomal RNA is filed under the name uncultured bacterium. Its description in RNAcentral is "partial 16S ribosomal RNA". It matches the Rfam family "Bacterial small subunit ribosomal RNA", at positions 1005 to 1212 of the family's 1533-position model. The record is from RNAcentral.